CUCCCCUACGGGACGCAGCAGUGGGGAAUAUUGCACAAUGGGGGAAACCCUGAUGCAGCGACGCCGCGUGAGCGAUGAAGUAUCUCGGUAUGUAAAGCUCUAUCAGCAGGGAAGAUAAUGACGGUACCUGACUAAGAAGCCCCGGCUAACUACGUGCCAGCAGCCGCGGUAAUACGUAGGGGGCAAGCGUUAUCCGGAUUUACUAGGUGUAAAGGGUGCGUAGGUGGCAGGGCAAGUCAGAUGUGAAAGCCCGGGGCUCAACCCCGGUACUGCAUUUGAAACUGUCCAGCUGGAGUGCAGGAGAG
RNAcentral lists this ribosomal RNA (305 nucleotides) under uncultured bacterium. RNAcentral describes it as "bacterial SSU rRNA". It matches the Rfam family "Bacterial small subunit ribosomal RNA", at positions 334 to 656 of the family's 1533-position model. The record is from RNAcentral.